Molecule: ribosomal RNA, 240 nt
Filed under: uncultured bacterium
Lineage: Bacteria
Description: partial 16S ribosomal RNA
Rfam family: Bacterial small subunit ribosomal RNA
Source: RNAcentral
UGGCGAACGGGUGAGUAACGCGUGAGGAACCUGCCUCAAAGAGGGGGACAACAGUUGGAAACGACUGCUAAUACCGCAUAAGCCCACGGGUCGGCAUCGACCUGAGGGAAAAGGAGCAAUCCGCUUUGAGAUGGCCCCGCGUCCGAUUAGCUAGUUGGUGAGGUAACGGCCCACCAAGGCGACGAUCGGUAGCCGGACUGAGAGGUUGAACGGCCACAUUGGGACUGAGACACGGCCCAG